UAGGGAAUCUUCCGCAAUGGGCGAAAGCCUGACGGAGCAACGCCGCGCGAGUGAUGAAGGUCUUCGGAUCGUAAAACUCUGUUAUUAGGGAAGAACAAAUGUGUAAGUAACUAUGCACGUCUUGACGGUACCUAAUCAGAAAGCCACGGCUAACUACGUGCCAGCAGCCGCGGUAAUACGUAGGUGGCAAGCGUUAUCCGGAAUUAUUGGGCGUAAAGCGCGCGUAGGCGGUUUUUUAAGUCUGAUGUGAAAGCCCACGGCUCAACCGUGGAGGGUCAUUGGAAACUGGACAACUUGAGUGCAGAAGAGGAAAGUGGAAUUCCAUGUGUGGCGGUGAAAUGCGCAGAGAUAUGGAGGAACACCAGUGUCGAAGGCGACUUUCUGGUCUGUAACUGACGCUGAUGUGCGAAAGCGUGGGGAUCAAACAGG
RNAcentral lists this ribosomal RNA (429 nucleotides) under Actinomycetes bacterium. Its description in RNAcentral is "Actinobacteria bacterium partial 16S ribosomal RNA". It matches the Rfam family "Bacterial small subunit ribosomal RNA", at positions 355 to 776 of the family's 1533-position model. Lineage: Bacteria; Bacillati; Actinomycetota; Actinomycetes. The record is from RNAcentral.